CUGGCUUGGAAAGCAGAUGGAAGAAGUGUGCUGCUUGCGCACUGAUCUUCCAGCGACCAUUUAUUGUCCCUGGGAUUUUUUUCCUUCUCCUUUUUUAAAAUUGAGAUCCAGCUCAUCCAACUUGUAACGUCGAACAGUUAUGGACAGAAUGUGCUGUUUAAAUGGGAUGUCUGUCUUCUGCUCUCUUUACAUCUACGAA
Molecule: long non-coding RNA, 199 nt
Organism: Zootoca vivipara (common lizard)
Lineage: Eukaryota; Metazoa; Chordata; Lepidosauria; Squamata; Lacertidae
Source: RefSeq, a predicted model, not a curated record